Long non-coding RNA from Gavialis gangeticus (Gharial), 122 nucleotides. RefSeq lists it as uncharacterized. The record is from RefSeq and is a predicted model, not a curated record. The transcript has 3 exons. NCBI's taxonomy places the organism in Eukaryota, Metazoa, Chordata, Crocodylia, Gavialidae.
AAUGCAAGAUAGGUAAGGUAGACCAAACAACAACUUUGCACCAGCAUGAACACACACCGGAAAUCUAUCAAAGACAAAAAUACCCAAUUACCUGUAGGGGCUCAUUUCUCACAAGAAAACCA